Molecule: long non-coding RNA, 3180 nt
Organism: Cryptotermes secundus
Lineage: Eukaryota; Metazoa; Arthropoda; Insecta; Blattodea; Kalotermitidae
Exons: 4
Source: RefSeq, a predicted model, not a curated record
CAUAGUGGAGAGAAGCCAUUUUGCUGUGAUAUAUGUAAUAAGGCAUUCAGUCAGCAGAGCACUCUGAAGACACAUCGGAGCACACAUAGUGGAGAGAAGCUGUUUUGCUGUGAUGUAUGUAAAAAGUCAUUCAGUGAGCAGAAUCAUCUGAAGAGACAUCAGCGCAUACAUGUUGAUGUGUGCAGUAAAUCAUAGAGCAGUAGAAAUGGAUGUAGACUAAAGGAACAUUAUGUGACUUGUAGCAUGCCACAGUUUUCAUGUUGUAAGUAAGACAGUUUUGCUGUGUGUGGCAUGCUUCACUUUUGUAGAAUGCUACAGUAUAUUGCGGUUUAUUGCUUUUGCUAACUUUUCAAACUGACGGGAAAUGAACUGAGUCCCAUGGUACGAAACAUCUGUGCAAAUGAGUUCCAUUUGAUUCUAAUUGUUGAAUGUGCUCAAUGCCCCCUCUUGUUGAGUGGAAAGAGACAUGACAUUGAAGAAAGCAGUCUUCUGGGAUUUGGCACCGUGUAUAUGUGGUCCUCAAAUCUUACAGACAUGAUAUUCUCCUACACUUAUGAUGUUAAUUCAGCACUAGAAGCUAAUGAUUAGUAGAGUGUAGCACUGAAAUGGAUUGACAGCUUAUGCACAUAAUUCAGUGGCAUUGUAUGUUUUUUGCUGUACGUUAUCUGUGCUCUUCUGCCAUUACAUGUCAUUAAAUUCGUUGAUCAGUUAGUUACAGAUAGAUAUAUCACUUGGAUUGAGUAUAUUGAGAUAACUGUUAUGGAUUUGGUCAGAUGAAUACAAAGUAUGCUAUAUUGGACAUUGAAGACAAGAUAUAUUUUUGUGGGAUACUUGGUAUAUUGAUUAUAAAAAGAAAGUUAAAUAAAGGUUGGUUGAUUCUGCUUGUGGAGAAACGUAAUGGUACAGAGAAUUUAAUUUGGAAAGCUGAAGAAAGAUUUGCUGACAUCUUUUCAUUGUGAAUAUCAGAAGAGAAACAGCGGUCUGUCAUGAGAUCAGAAGAGAAAGUGGUUUGGCACUGAGGCACUCCUUUUUGCUUUAGGUCUCCUUUGCUUUAGAGGGAAAGAGUCAGCUGAAAAUUGUGAAGAACGCUUGCUUCAUUUUCAUAAGAUGUACCAUGCAUUCGUCCCUCAAUAACUUUGCAUCAGCAGAGUUCUUCCUCAUGUGUCACCACACAUUGGCUGUCGCUGCAUCACCAGAACUGAUCCUGCUCCAUGGUUCUGGAAUAUGUUCCAUUUUGUAUGUCUUCACCAUAUGAAGUAGUGCGCAGUGCAUGAAUGGAUUUUCAAGUUGCAGUUGUCCUCAGAAAAAUGUGAAGCAACUAAAGAAUAACCCAGAAAGAGUCAUUUGGUACAGCUGGUAUUGCCACCGAUAAUCAACUGGAGCGUUCGGAUGUGAGUAUAGAGAGCAACCGUUGCAUGAAUAUACUCAUCACAUCAUCAAAUUGUUUCAUGCCUGUAAUGUUCAUUGUUGAAUUGGAUGAUAAUGAAGUCUGGUUGUGCCAUGUGUGUACCUGUAUGUUGGUAAUUAAUGGAAUAUUGAGAUAAUGUGAUCACAGUACAGUCGAUAAAGGUCAGACUUGCUGGGGCACAGCAUUUAAUCAGCUCACAUCUGCUUUUGGCACAGAUAUUACUCGUAUAAACCGUGUGGAAAAGAAGGAUGUGGAGAUUGUGUCCAUUUCACUGUCAGUGUGCUCCAACUGUUUGCAUGUCAUGUGCUAACAUAGCCAAGAUGGGCCAGAGAAGCAUGGCUCUUCCUCCGCAACACUGGGGUUGAAUGGCAUUCAGCCUUCAAGUAAGAUAAGGGAAAAGAAAAGUUGUCCAUGUGCUUAAGUAAUUAAGCACCUUGCCAUGAAAACACGGAGCAGUGGAAGCAUAGCCCCACCAUUCUUCACUUCGGUGCUAGACAGAGAUGAGUGGUCAGGUUCACAUCCCUGGUUCCCUUUACCCCCAUUGGAAGAGACCCAGGUAGCAGUUGGAUAGGAGGCUGGGUGGGCCCCAGGACUGGUCUCUAUGAUGUAGAGACAAGAAAAAUCAUAACCCUACUUGGACUCAAAAUUUGAAUCCUUGGAUGUCCAGUCCAUAUAAGUCAUUAGUCCAGUAUAAUCUACUAAUUUGCUGCUGGUUUUCACCAGCAAAGUUGUUCUUGGUUUCAGGUGCCAUCAGGGCAUAUGGUUGAAGUUUUGUUCUUGGCAAGACCAUUCAUGUGUUUGGAAAUACACUCUCCCCCUCAAUGAGAGGAGGUGUUGGUCUGUCUGAGUAGGUGCCACAAUUGCUGCUCCAUAAUUUUGCAGUUACCCUCACUCACACAUCGUCUGGCCAUCACACUGAAGGCACACUUCAACUUGUUGAGCCAGUUUCUGAACAUCCACUGAAUAUGUAGGUUACUGUCUUCAAGGGUGUGAUAUUCUGGGUAGUUUGCCUGAAAAGGAGGCAGCAGGUUCCCAAGAAUAUCCAUACCUCUCCACCAAAGUUUGGUGACUUCCCACAGGAUCGUGGUCUUUAUAUUCACUGCUGUAAGAGCCUCAAAUCUCACUUCAUGCUAUUAUCUUGUGGGCUACUUUAUACUGGGAGAUAAUGCACAUAAGAUAACCUGCAUUUCAUUGUAUUGCAGUUUCUGUUUCAUGAAGCUCCAACACCCACCGCACUGCAUCACUCAGUGGUGGUCCAGGCGUCCUCAAGUCUCUAGAAGAAACUGGGAGUGGGGAAGGUGGUUAUGGCUGUGAGCAGUUUCUGUUUCAUGCAGCGCCAACACCCACCGCACUGCAUCACUCAGUGGUGGUCCAGACGUCAAGUCUCUAGAAGAAACUGGGAGUGGGGAAGGUGGUUAUGGCUGUGAGCAGUUUCUGUUUCAUGCAGCGCCAACACCCACCGCACUGCAUCACUCAAUGGUGGUCCAGGCGUCCUCAAGUCUUUAGAAGAAACUGGGAGGGGGAAGGUGGUUAGGGCUGUGAGCAGUUUCUGUUUCAUGCAGCGCCAACACCCACCGCACUGCAUCACUCAAUGCUGCUCCAGACGUCAAGUCUCUAGAAGAAACUGGGAGGGGGGGAAGGUGGUUAUGGCUGUGACCAUUUUGUUUUUAUUUUUAUUUCUCUCAACAAUGGUAUGCAGGGUAUAAACCUAACUAACAAAAAGUUUUUAAAACAACUUUUUGAAUCCACUGAUAUGUUGGGAUUUUGGACUU